Molecule: long non-coding RNA, 1591 nt
Filed under: Capsicum annuum
Lineage: Eukaryota; Viridiplantae; Streptophyta; Magnoliopsida; Solanales; Solanaceae
Description: long non-coding RNA (CANN_LNC003427)
Source: RNAcentral
UGAAAUUAAACAAUAUUUUUCUAUAUAGACGGUCUUCUGAAAUAAGGGAGGCUCACCAACUGCAAACUUCUGACAGAUCAAUCUACGACUUAGCGGAAUCCCGGAAUUGUGCCUGGGAUCCUGAAAUAUUGGGGGUCAAAGCAGAGCAAUCCAAAAUAACGUGCUUUUAUAUAACAUAAGUGAGAGCAAUUCAUAAAAAUAGUUUACAUACGAUAUAGGAAAACCACAUGGGCAUACUUUAAAGACUUUGAAAGAUUUCUUUGUAAUCAUGAACCACUAUUUAUGUCGGGGCAUUCCUUGGUGAAUAGAUACACGUGCCUCGGGGCAUUCCCCGGCCAAAUGAAUACAACUAAAUUAAAUGCGAUAAAACAAAACCAUUCUGACACAUAUUUCAAACAAGCCAUCAAUCCACCACGCCUAAAUUUGCUUACCCAAACCUACCGUUUGCCUAUUCAUUCUUGACUAAAGACAUAAUUCUAUCAUAGUUUAUAUCAACAAGAAAUCACAAUUAAUCCAAAUCUACCCUUUUCAUCUAUUUUUCAAUUUCCAGUCCAGCAUCCUUUUUAUCAAUCGCACCAUCAAAAUUACUCAAAUUCGUUCCACAUAUUAAUAAAAUCACAUCGUCAAGCACAUAAUCAAAUCAUCAACAAAAUCCAAAAAUCAUAAUCACAACAUCAAUAUACCAAAUUAAAAUAAAAUAAGAAGCAAGAGUUGUAGAGAUGGACCUUCUGAUAAUCGACUUUCGUUGAUAAUAAGAAUUAAGGAAGCCUGACCUUGGGAUUUCGAAAAGAACCUCAACUGUGAUGACUCUGACUUCGAUAUCGACAAACUCAACACCCCAAGACUGAUCUAGAUGGACUGAUUAUAUGAAUAGAAAACCAAAUCCUCAAACCCAGAACAAAACUGAUGAACCCGGAACCCGAUUUCAAAAGGAAUCACUGAGAAAAAUAAACCUAAAACCCCAACAAAAAUGACAGGACAUCAAAUCCUAGCAUAGACCGAGCUUCGAUGAGAUCUGGCGACAGUAGGAACAACGGCUCAAGACAAAUUCCGGCGCGUUUCGACAUUUUUAGGCCGGAUUUGCUCAGAAAUAAAAGGGAAACAAAGAAAUCUCAAGCUUUUGAGAGCUGAAAUGGUCGCCCAACGAAUCAAAAAUCAAUUCUGACUAACGUUGCACCGUAAAAACUUGAAACAAAAACUGAAUCUCAUCGAAAGACUCGAAACAAGACCAAAUCUCUUACCCGCUCACUAUUCCAAUCAUUCUCUUCCCCUUUCUAAUCUGUUUUUGAUCUUUUCUCUUUUGUUUUUGGCCUUCUCCAUCUCUUCUCUUCAAUGUUCUCUAAUCCAAUCGCCUCAUCAUUUUUUCACCGACCUCACUGUGUGCGUUUACGUGUGCUGUUUGGUGAGGUGUGUGAAUUGAAUGGAGAAGAAGCCACUCGGCAGUGAGUGUUUUUGUUUUUGUAUUUUUUCUUUCACUAUAUCAGUGAGUGUGUAUGUGAUAAAAAUAUUCUCUCUCCAUGAAUUGUGAAUGUCCGUGUGUAUAUAUGGAAGGUGAGGUGAUCAGAUUAUUGUCAUUCCCCCAAUGGAAAAG